Molecule: ribosomal RNA, 222 nt
Filed under: uncultured bacterium
Lineage: Bacteria
Description: partial 16S ribosomal RNA
Rfam family: Bacterial small subunit ribosomal RNA
Source: RNAcentral
UACGUAGGGUGCAAGCGUUGUCCGGAAUUAUUGGGCGUAAAGAGCUCGUAGGCGGUUUGUCGCGUCUGCUGUGAAAACGCGAGGCUCAACCCCGCGCCUGCAGUGGGUACGGGCAGACUAGAGUGCGGUAGGGGAGAUUGGAAUUCCUGGUGUAGCGGUGGAAUGCGCAGAUAUCAGGAGGAACACCGAUGGCGAAGGCAGAUCUCUGGGCCGGUAACUGAC